AGCUCGUUAGUUUUGCUGCUGUGCUUCUGGUGGAAGGAUUAGGGAGCCUUCUUUUCCUACAUAACCUGCAAGUGCCAAUGCCCUUCCUUCAGUAAGGGAGCCCAAGGUGGUGUAGAGCAUUUGAGUCCUGGUGUUUUCCUGCAAGUAUGCAGCAUCCUCUAACUAGGAGCAUAGAAGAGGGAAAUUGUAUCAUCUGGAUUCCUCUGGUUCUGUUUGCUCCUUAGAGCACUGAAUGAAUUCCCUCCCUAAAUGGUAUGUGGAAUUGUGGAAUAGAAAGUGUGGUGGAACAGAAAAGCUGCUUCCUAGCAUCCUCUAGCCUCCCUAGAGGCACAGAUCAGGAUUCCAGGGAGGUAAGCAACCCUCAGCAGCUCUGCAAAGAGGGAGCGUCUACAACAGGGAAUGGAAGUGUCUGCACCACAAUGAAGUACAAGAGGAACAUGACUGAAAACCAAGGGAGGUUCCUUAUGAGCAAGUAAGUCCUGGGUCGGCUGGCAUGUCCUCCAUAAUCCCCCAGGACAUAGCAGAAAUACAUAAAGUUAACUACCCUGGGAAUCUGUGUCUGAGGGAGAAUGAUGCCAUGUGUGAUACAAGGAGAUAAAAGUGCUCUAUCAGAGACUUAAUGAACAAUAAUAUAUGGGGAGGUUGAAAGCAUGGAAGGAGAACUUCUUCCUGAGCCACAGCUGGUGACCAGCCUAGGCUCUGAAGCAUGGAGAUUGAUAGCCCUUGUAAUUAUGUCCCCGCCCAACGGAACUGCAGGUACUGUCCUUGUUCAAACAACUCCUUUAUCCUUUCCAAAAGUUAUUUGCUCCAAUGAUCAGCAGAAGCAAGGAAGCAACAGGGGUCAACCCUGUAGACAGAGGUAAAUGAAGCUUAGGACAUGCUUUGGGGGUAGGGUGGGAGUAGAGGAAGGGUAGGUACCACCAAGAUCUUAUCAACAGUUUAAAUAAGUUUAAGUAAAAUCCUCUAACCUUUAGAUGGUUUUAUAAAAACAGAUACCCCAAAAUCAGAUGGGUCUCCAUGUUACAUCUUCCAAGUACUAAUCAUGGAGAAUCAUCACUCUAUAUUCUAGACUAUAUCCCCAGAAAAGAGUUUAGUCUUGCCUGCAAACCAGGUAUGUAUUUCUCCCCUCAUACCUGUAAGGUCCCUUGACCAAAUGGGCUCCAACCUAAACGAAUGAGAAAGUGCCAAGAGCUCAUGUGGCAAAAGGCCACCUCCUGCUUCUAGGACUUGGAAAUCCUUUCCUCCUUUGUGGAGUUCUCAUUUGAUUCUCCUUAGGCACAGUCUUCUUCUGGAGUCCAAAUGCUGUGCCUUUUCCCAGUCCUUUUCUCUUUCGAAGUCACACAUCCUGAAACCACCAUUAUCUUCAGGUGACUCUAACCAAAGUCUAGUUCUGCCUGCUUUGGUGAUGUGCGUAUGGCGAUGGACCUGUGAGGAAUGGAAGAUAAGUGUCCUACAAAGGGCAAUGGAGACAUGAAU
RNAcentral lists this long non-coding RNA (1476 nucleotides) under Vombatus ursinus (common wombat). RNAcentral describes it as "lncRNA (ENSVURG00010019630.1)". Lineage: Eukaryota; Metazoa; Chordata; Mammalia; Diprotodontia; Vombatidae. The record is from RNAcentral.